Molecule: ribosomal RNA, 492 nt
Filed under: uncultured bacterium
Lineage: Bacteria
Description: partial 16S ribosomal RNA
Rfam family: Bacterial small subunit ribosomal RNA
Source: RNAcentral
GAUGAACGCUAGCUACAGGCUUAACACAUGCAAGUCGAGGGGAAACGGCAUUGAGUGCUUGCACUCUUUGGACGUCGACCGGCGCACGGGUGAGUAACGCGUAUCCAACCUUCCCAUUACUGUGGGAUAACCUGCCGAAAGGCAGACUAAUACCGCAUAGUCUUCGAUGACGGCAUCAGAUUUGAAGUAAAGAUUUAUCGGUAAUGGAUGGGGAUGCGUCUGAUUAGCUUGUUGGCGGGGUAACGGCCCACCAAGGCUACGAUCAGUAGGGGUUCUGAGAGGAAGGUCCCCCACAUUGGAACUGAGACACGGUCCAAACUCCUACGGGAGGCAGCAGUGAGGAAUAUUGGUCAAUGGACGGAAGUCUGAACCAGCCAAGUAGCGUGCAGGAUGACGGCCCUAUGGGUUGUAAACUGCUUUUGUAUGGGGGUAAAGUUAGGGACGUGUCCCUAUUUGCAGGUACCAUACGAAUAAGGACCGGCUAAUUCCGUG